This 458-nucleotide ribosomal RNA is filed under the name uncultured bacterium. RNAcentral describes it as "partial 16S ribosomal RNA". It matches the Rfam family "Bacterial small subunit ribosomal RNA", at positions 29 to 507 of the family's 1533-position model. The record is from RNAcentral.
AACGAACGCUGGCGGCAUGCCUAACACAUGCAAGUCGAACGAGACCUUCGGGUCUAGUGGCGCACGGGUGCGUCACGCGUGGGAAUCUGCCCUUGGGUUCGGAAUAACAGUUGGAAACGACUGCUAAUACCGGAUGAUGACGUAAGUCCAAAGAUUUAUCGCCCAAGGAUGAGCCCGCGUAGGAUUAGCUAGUUGGUGAGGUAAAGGCUCACCCAGGCGACGAUCCUUAGCUGGUCUGAGAGGAUGAUCAGCCACACUGGGUGAGAGACGGGGUCCAGACACCGGCGGUGGGCAGCGGCCGGGACUCUUGGGGGAGGGGGAAGUGGGGAAUAUAGGAAAACGGGGGAAGUGAUGAAGGCGUUAGGGCGGGAGAGCCAUGUAGGCGGUAGGGUAGAAAAGCUGUUUAACCCGGGAUUGUAAUGACGGUACCGGAAGAAUAAGCACCGGCUAACUCCGUG